This is a long non-coding RNA of Ficedula albicollis (Collared flycatcher), 689 nucleotides long. RefSeq lists it as uncharacterized. Lineage: Eukaryota; Metazoa; Chordata; Aves; Passeriformes; Muscicapidae. The transcript is spliced from 3 exons. The record is from RefSeq and is a predicted model, not a curated record.
UGUAUCCCCCAGAGUUUUGGGUGGAUGGCAAGAGGUGGAUUUUAGGACCGAAAUAGGUGCGUGGUCCAAAAGGUUAAAAAUAACUGCACCUCCUGAGACUUCUCCCUGGGCUGUGCUCUUCCCUGGGAUUCUGUGAGCUUUUUCCACCCAAACUGGCACCUAGCACAGUGUCAUCCUGAUGCAUGGCAGGAACUAGAAGAUGCUCCUGCAAAGCAAAUUAACAAUGUCUGUGGGAUUUGGAAAUGACAUGAAGAAUUAUUCAAGAUCCAGCUCCAGAAAGUAAAUCACUAAGUCAAAUUGUUAAUGAUAGCUGUGACAGCAAUGCAUGGUUUGGAAUUUUAUUGGAAAGAAUUUGACAAAUGCUUUAGAUAAUGAACAAAGUAAUAAAAAAUCAAUGUCUAUUCCCAGAUAAUUUGUGAAAAGGAAAAGGAGCUUAUUUAUCAACUAUAUUGUUUCUGCAAAUAGUUCACCUCAUGAUUUCAGAGGGGAAGUAGGUAGGAAGAGAAAAUGAGCUUAACAAAACAAACAUUGGUUUAUAUGUCAAUAUUCUUGUAAAUGACAAUGACAAAAGGGAAAUACAGCUAAUAUGAUAUGGGAACAAAAUAACUUUGAAAAUGAAAAUUUUGUUGUGACUCUUCUAAUUCUCACCAGCUCCAUAACGAUGACAAAUCCAAGAACCACCGAGUGUA